UACAGUAAAAUACAGGAAAAAUACAGGAAAAAAAUAAAAGCUAGUAAAACAUAAGUGAUGUCUAACAUUAAAACUAAAUGUCUUAUUUUACAGGUCCCUGUACAUUGGCAAUUUCAAGUAUACUUGUAGCAGCUUCCUUUCAGAAUCACCAAUUGCCCUA
Molecule: long non-coding RNA, 160 nt
Organism: Athene cunicularia (burrowing owl)
Lineage: Eukaryota; Metazoa; Chordata; Aves; Strigiformes; Strigidae
Exons: 3
Source: RefSeq, a predicted model, not a curated record